UUUUGAAAAUUAAUAUGAAAUUGGAAACAUAAAAUACUAAGCACCGAUUCUCGCAACAUUCGUAACUUUAAGAAUUCGUAACUUGACAGUUCUUAUGGUAUUUUAUACAUGCAACUGUCAAAUUACCAAUUCUUAAUGUUACGAAUGCUACGAGAAUCUACGCACUGGUUUGU
Long non-coding RNA from Bradysia coprophila, 173 nucleotides. Lineage: Eukaryota; Metazoa; Arthropoda; Insecta; Diptera; Sciaridae. The record is from RefSeq and is a predicted model, not a curated record.